Molecule: unclassified non-coding RNA, 155 nt
Filed under: fungal sp.
Lineage: Eukaryota; Fungi
Description: partial internal transcribed spacer region
Rfam family: Eukaryotic small subunit ribosomal RNA (bases 1-46)
Source: RNAcentral
AAGUCGUAACAAGGUUUCCGUAGGUGAACCUGCGGAAGGAUCAAUACGAAGAGGAUGAGUGGGGAGAGUGGGGAUAUGUUGAAAUACUAGAAGAACUUAUGACAUUUUACACACACAACAACACACAACUCAUAACAAUGGAUCUCUGGGCUCUU